AGUGAACGCUGGCGGUAGGCCUAACACAUGCAAGUCGAACGGCAGCACAGUAAGAGCUUGCUCUUACGGGUGGCGAGUGGCGGACGGGUGAGGAAUACAUCGGAAUCUACUUUUUCGUGGGGGAUAACGUAGGGAAACUUACGCUAAUACCGCAUACGACCUACGGGUGAAAGCAGGGGAUCUUCGGACCUUGCGCGAUUGAAUGAGCCGAUGUCGGAUUAGCUAGUUGGCGGGGUAAAGGCCCACCAAGGCGACGAUCCGUAGCUGGUCUGAGAGGAUGAUCAGCCACACUGGAACUGAGACACGGUCCAGACUCCUGCGGGAGGCAGCAGUGGGGAAUAUUGGACAAUGGGUGCAAGCCUGAUCCAGCCAUACCGCGUGGGUGAAGAAGGCCUUCGGGUUGUAAAGCCCUUUUGUUGGGAAAGAAAAGCAGCAGGUUAAUACCCCGCUGUUCUGACGGUACCCAAAGAAUAAGCACCGGCUAACUUCGUG
This 492-nucleotide ribosomal RNA is filed under the name uncultured bacterium. RNAcentral describes it as "partial 16S ribosomal RNA". It matches the Rfam family "Bacterial small subunit ribosomal RNA", at positions 29 to 507 of the family's 1533-position model. The record is from RNAcentral.